Paramuricea clavata is the source of this 671-nucleotide non-coding RNA. The record is from the annotation of a GenBank genome assembly. Lineage: Eukaryota; Metazoa; Cnidaria; Anthozoa; Malacalcyonacea; Plexauridae.
AUUUUCUGGUUAGUUGUGCAAUCAUUUUGAGGCACUUCAGUCAGGGAGAGAGGUAUGACUAUAAUUUAUAUUUAUUGAUAGAAAAGAUUGUCAUGAGUAAUUUGAUGAAAUACGACUUCGUUGACUUAGGCCAUAAAUCGCCACAAUGUUGAAAUUGACUGAACAUAUAUGCUGAGGAAUAAGGAGAUAUUGUUUCACUGAAUUGAAUGGUGCCGGUAUUUUUGUCCUUGCUGGACUCACUGAACUGAAGCUAUGAAGCUGGAAAGUUGUUGCUGAAACCAUAGCGCAAUGUCAUGGUUAAAUCUGGACCUGUAUAUAAUGAUUAAUCUUAUCUUUUCUCAUGCAUAGCCGUAUAACAAUAGACAAUCUUCCGUUUCAGCAAAAUUCUUUCACUUUGAUAGCCGUCUUUGUUAUGCAAAAAAUAACUGACAAAACACAUUUCCUUGUCAGAUGUGCAAUCAUUUUGCAAGACACUUUCAACGAGAGCAACUUGAAGAAAACUAAACUGAGAGAAAAUUUAUUUGGUAAGGUUGUACUGACAAAUGUAAACUAACUGGUGCAUGCAGUAUACUGUUUGAUUCCUACAUAUAGAUAUAUUUUAUUCCUUUCAACAGCUUAAGCUUGAUCUUAUUCUGUUUCAUAUAAAAGCGCGCGGUUUAAACCGAUAGAAA